Molecule: ribosomal RNA, 191 nt
Filed under: uncultured Glomeromycotina
Lineage: Eukaryota; Fungi; Glomeromycota
Description: partial 18S ribosomal RNA
Rfam family: Eukaryotic small subunit ribosomal RNA
Source: RNAcentral
UAGNUAUUCAANUUGUUCAGAGGUGAAAUUCUUGGAUCUUAUUGAAGACUAACUACUGCGAAAGCAUUUGCCAAGGAUGUUUUCAUUAWYCAAGAACGAAAGUUAGGGGAUCGAAACGAUCWGAUACCGUCGUANUCUUAUCCNUAAACUAUGCCRACUAGGGAUCGGAUGAUGUUAUUUUUAAUGACUCA